This 450-nucleotide ribosomal RNA is filed under the name uncultured bacterium. RNAcentral describes it as "partial 16S ribosomal RNA". It matches the Rfam family "Bacterial small subunit ribosomal RNA", at positions 354 to 796 of the family's 1533-position model. The record is from RNAcentral.
GUAGGGAAUCUUCGGCAAUGGACGAAAGUCUGACCGAGCAACGCCGCGUGAGUGAAGAAGGUUUUCGGGUCGUAAAACUCUGUUGGUAGAGAAGAACGUUGGUGAGAGUGGAAAGCUCAUCAAGUGACGGUAACUACCCAGAAAGGGACGGCUAACUACGUGCCAGCAGCCGCGGUAAUACGUAGGUCCCGAGCGUUGUCCGGAUUUAUUGGGCGUAAAGCGAGCGCAGGUGGUUUAUUAAGUCUGGUGUAAAAGGCAGUGGCUCAACCAUUGUAUGCAUUGGAAACUGGUAGACUUGAGUGCAGGAGAGGAGAGUGGAAUUCCAUGUGUAGCGGUGAAAUGCGUAGAUAUAUGGAGGAACACCGGUGGCGAAAGCGGCUCUCUGGCCUGUAACUGACACUGAGGCUCGAAAGCGUGGGGAGCAAACAGGAUUAGAAACCCUUGUAGUCC